CCUACGGGGGGCUGCAGUGGGGAAUAUUGGACAAUGGGCGAAAGCCUGAUCCAGCAAUGCCGCGUGAGUGAUGAAGGCCUUAGGGUUGUAAAGCUCUUUUACCAGGGAUGAUAAUGACAGUACCUGGAGAAUAAGCUCCGGCUAACUCCGUGCCAGCAGCCGCGGUAAUACGGAGGGAGCUAGCGUUGUUCGGAAUUACUGGGCGUAAAGCGCGCGUAGGCGGCUUUUUAAGUCAGGGGUGAAAUCCCGGGGCUCAACCCCGGAACUGCCCUUGAAACUGGAAAGCUAGAAUCUUGGAGAGGCGAGUGGAAUUCCGAGUGUAGAGGUGAAAUUCGUAGAUAUUCGGAAGAACACCAGUGGCGAAGGCGACUCGCUGGACAAGUAUUGACGCUGAGGUGCGAAAGCGUGGGGAGCAAACAGGAUUAGAUACCCUUGUAGU
Molecule: ribosomal RNA, 439 nt
Filed under: uncultured Porphyrobacter sp.
Lineage: Bacteria; Pseudomonadati; Pseudomonadota; Alphaproteobacteria; Sphingomonadales; Erythrobacteraceae
Description: bacterial SSU rRNA
Rfam family: Bacterial small subunit ribosomal RNA
Source: RNAcentral